RNAcentral lists this transfer RNA (19 nucleotides) under Phelipanche bungeana. RNAcentral's name for it is "partial tRNA-Phe". Lineage: Eukaryota; Viridiplantae; Streptophyta; Magnoliopsida; Lamiales; Orobanchaceae. The record is from RNAcentral.
GUCGGGAUAGCUCAGCAGU